This 272-nucleotide unclassified non-coding RNA is filed under the name plant metagenome. Its description in RNAcentral is "partial contains small subunit ribosomal RNA, internal transcribed spacer 1, and 5.8S ribosomal RNA". The record is from RNAcentral.
UUUCCGUAGGUGAACCUGCGGAAGGAUCAUUAAUGAAUUGUCAUGGGGUUCGAUGCUGGCAGCCAGUUUUUGGAUGCAUGUGCUUGCCCUAACAAUCAUCUUCUUCCAAACACCUGUGCACAUUUUUGAGGGAGUCUUGAGUUGGUUGCCGCUCUUGGGUGAUUUUCUCACAUUCCCUUAAAUCAUUAUACGCUAUUAACAAUGUUGAACGUGCUCUGUGCCGCAAGGCCAUUAAUAUAAUACAACUUUUAACAACGGAUCUCUAGGCUCUC